RNAcentral lists this long non-coding RNA (1170 nucleotides) under Homo sapiens (human). Its description in RNAcentral is "long non-coding RNA NONHSAT157362.1". The record is from RNAcentral. Lineage: Eukaryota; Metazoa; Chordata; Mammalia; Primates; Hominidae.
GGUGGAGUCCCUAACCCCCAUCCCAGCUCUGAGCUUAUACACUGACACUUUUAAAAUGUGUCAUCACCUUUGCCCACAAGUUUUCCUUAAUAGCUUCAAUAUAACUACCUAUAUGUGCUUAACUGAAAGCAACACAGUAUGUGCAAAUAUUUCUGAGCCUGCCAGAGAGGCCAGCCUCAGUGUGAGCAUCAGCCCCCGGCUCAGGACUUGGGGACUGAGUAGUGUAUAUGUUUGUGCAGGUCGAAACAGUGGGGCCUGGGAAACCAAGUCACCUCCACCAGCUGCACCAUCCCCGUUGCCACGGGCCGGGAAAAAACCAACGACACCACUGAAGACAACUCCAGUUGCCUCUCAACAGAAUGCUUCAAGUGUUUGUGAAGGAUUUACAGAAGGGGGAAACCCAACUGUGGAUGGGCCCCUACCCAGCUUUUCAUCUAAUUCCACUAUUUCAGAACAGGAAGCUGGCGUUCUCUGCAAGCCAUGGUAUGCUGGAGCCUGUGAUCGAAAGUCUGCUGAAGAGGCAUUGCACAGAUCAAACAAGGAUGGAUCAUUUCUUAUUCGGAAAAGCUCUGGCCAUGAUUCCAAACAACCAUAUACACUAGUUGUAUUCUUUAAUAAGCGAGUAUAUAAUAUUCCUGUGCGAUUUAUUGAAGCAACAAAACAAUAUGCCUUGGGCAGAAAGAAAAAUGGUGAAGAGGUCAGUGAUUUCUUUUUAAAUUCAAUUCUAUAACUAUGCAUUGAGUAUAAUGACAUCAAAUACUGUAUUAGAUGCUAGAGAUGAGGAGAAAGGAUACAAAAGUACUUGUUCUAAUGCUUGCAUAAAUGUCAUAGAGAACAAGAUAAAAUACUAUAUUUAGGCAGUAUAUCCUAUAAGAACACAGAAAAGGAAAAAGUCAUGUGAUGUACAUGCUAGUCCUUUCAUUCAGUUAUUUAAUGAGGUCAGUCUGACCCAAGAUUUUAGUCCAGGGGCAAAUAUAAAUCAAGGUUGAAAUGUCAAGUUGAAUUAAGGUUGUAAGAAUUAGGGUCAAGUUCCAGACCUCCAAAGUCAAGACCUAAAAUCUCAACUCAAGUACCAAGGUAGGUUACCAGGGAAGGAUCCAGAAGAGAUGCAGAAACUUGAGUUAAAACAUUAGACUAUAGCCCUUGUACCAGAAUGAGCUUAUGGGCCUG